GCCGUUGUAGCUCAGGGGUAGAGCAACUGAUUCGUAAUCAGUAGGUCGGAGGUUCAAAUCCUCUCAACGGCACCA
RNAcentral lists this transfer RNA (75 nucleotides) under Phaeovibrio sulfidiphilus. Its description in RNAcentral is "tRNA-Thr". It matches the Rfam family "tRNA". Rfam says of the family: Transfer RNA (tRNA) molecules are approximately 80 nucleotides in length. The record is from RNAcentral. Lineage: Bacteria; Pseudomonadati; Pseudomonadota; Alphaproteobacteria; Rhodospirillales; Rhodospirillaceae.